AUGCUUCAGCAGCACAUAAACUAAAAUGGGAAUGAUACAGAGAAGAUUAGCGUGGCCCCUGCGCAAGGAUGACACACAAAUUCAUGAAGUGUUCCAUGUUGUU
Molecule: small nuclear RNA, 103 nt
Filed under: Pogona vitticeps (central bearded dragon)
Lineage: Eukaryota; Metazoa; Chordata; Lepidosauria; Squamata; Agamidae
Source: RNAcentral